CCAUAAGAUAAAGCUCAUUUGAAUUUCCAAGCUCCAUAGCAGCAGCUAUGUGUACUAAGGUACAUUUCAAAUGAAAAGGGUCUUUCUCAAGCAGGCUGUGAAAGAGAAGAUAAAGCUCAGAUGACCUGAUACAUCUAAGGCCAAAAGAUCAGUAUCAUUUUUUAGUGUAUGCUUGAUAGAUGCGCUAGAAGGAUUGCUAUUGCAGCUUUCUUUUUCAACUUCUCUGAACUUGGCUUCUACAACACUCUUUUUGUCAUACUGAGACCAGGGGACUAAGCAUGAGUAGAAUGAAGAGAGCCACCCAUCUUCUGGACCGAAUUGCAAGGAGGACAGCAGCCUUGUUUCUGCAAUUCAGUAGCAAAUAUACAGGGUUAAUUUUAAUUUCAUUUGGUCAAUGAAGCGAAUGCUGGAAUAGUACAGCAUAGAGGAAUUCUCAACAAUCAACACAUUAGCAAUAAAUACUGCAAUCCAAAGCCUGGGGAACAAUGAAGAUACAACCAUCAUUCAUACUUCCAAUCCAAAUCAGUGAAAAUGAUGUGCAAAACUAAUGCUGCCAAAGAUUCUUACUACACGGAGUUAUAACCCUGUUAUCAAAGGAAUCUAAUGCUGCCAAAGAUCUUCCAUCUUUUAUUCCUGUUUAACGGAUAGUCUAUGUAUAUAUAUAUAUAUAUAUCGGUUACUUGCUAACAAGGUUGAAAAUU
This is a long non-coding RNA of Populus trichocarpa (black cottonwood), 701 nucleotides long. RefSeq lists it as uncharacterized. The record is from RefSeq and is a predicted model, not a curated record. The transcript is spliced from 3 exons. Lineage: Eukaryota; Viridiplantae; Streptophyta; Magnoliopsida; Malpighiales; Salicaceae.